This 459-nucleotide ribosomal RNA is filed under the name uncultured bacterium. RNAcentral describes it as "partial 16S ribosomal RNA". It matches the Rfam family "Bacterial small subunit ribosomal RNA", at positions 338 to 795 of the family's 1533-position model. The record is from RNAcentral.
CCUACGGGUGGCUGCAGUGAGGAAUAUUGGUCAAUGGACGAGAGUCUGAACCAGCCAAGUAGCGUGAAGGAUGACUGUCCCAAGGGUUGUAAACUUCUUUUAUAUGGGGAUAAAAUGUUCCACGUGUGGGUUUUUGUAGGUACCUUAUGAAUAAGGAUCGGCUAACUCCGUGCCAGCAGCCGCGGUAAUACGGAGGAUGCGAGCGUUAUCCGGAUUUAUUGGGUUUAAAGGGUGCGCAGGCGGAAGGUCAAGUCAGCGGUAAAAGUGAGAGGCUCAACCUCUGCGAGCCGUUGAAACUGGUUUUCUUGAGAGAGCGAGAAGUAUGCGGAAUGCGUGGUGUAGCGGUGAAAUGCAUAGAUAUCACGCAGAACUCCGAUUGCGAAGGCAGCAUACCGGCGCUCAACUGACGCUCAUGCACGAAAGUGUGGGUAUCGAACAGGAUUAGAUACCCUGGUAGUC